AGCUCCAAUAGCGUAUAUUAAAGUUGUUGCAGUUAAAAAGCUCGUAGUUGAAUUUCUGAUAGAAGGGAGCGGUUCCGCAUUCUUGCGGAUACUGGCUCGUCUUCCGUCAUCCUUGGGCUUAGUCUCGCUGAUAUUAACUUAUCGGCGUGGACGAUGCCCAUCGUUUUCUGUGAGCAAAUUAGAGUGUUCAAAGCAGGCAUUUUGCCAUUGAAUAUAUUAGCAUGGAAUAAUAAGAUAGGAUUUCACGAUUUUAUUUUGUUGGUUUGCGUUGUGAAAUAAUGAUUAAGAGGGACAGUUGUGGGUAUUCGUAUUCAGAUGUCAGAGGUGAAAUUCUUAGAUUAUCGGAAGACGAACGACUGCGAAAGCAUUUACCAAGGAUGUUUUCA
RNAcentral lists this ribosomal RNA (386 nucleotides) under uncultured marine Chaetocerotaceae. RNAcentral describes it as "SSU rRNA". It matches the Rfam family "Eukaryotic small subunit ribosomal RNA", at positions 587 to 972 of the family's 1831-position model. Lineage: Eukaryota; Bacillariophyta; Thalassiosirophyceae; Chaetocerotales; Chaetocerotaceae. The record is from RNAcentral.